Molecule: long non-coding RNA, 754 nt
Filed under: Nicotiana benthamiana
Lineage: Eukaryota; Viridiplantae; Streptophyta; Magnoliopsida; Solanales; Solanaceae
Description: long non-coding RNA (NBEN_LNC030710)
Source: RNAcentral
UCUAGCCCAGGGUAAGGGUAAGGUCUGCGUACACACUACCCUCUCCAGACCCCACUAAAUGGGAUUAUACUGGGUUGUUGUUGUUGUUGAUAGAAAUAUCUGACAAAAUAUUAAUUCCACGCGCUGCUGAAGAUUUACAAAUAACAUGACAGUAUAAAACCUCAUCAAAUUCACCUUAAGGAGGAGGUAAAUUAAUUAACCAGUAAAGUAAUAAAAUAACGUUGGCUGAUUAAUGAAACACAAUCCCUAAAACACAAAAUAAUCGAAGGAGAUAAAUCUGAAGGGGAAAAAUUACAUACAAGGAUAUUACACACCAAUGAGAAAAAGAAAAGCGAAAAAAGAUUAAAAUUGCAUCAAAUGAAACAUCAUCAAAUCAGUUGCAACUGAGAGACUCGAAUCAAAUUCUUUUCCUGAUAACAAAGAAAGAAAUGAUGAAAGCAACAAAACCCAACAGAAAUGCUGGAGAAGAAUUGGCAGAGCCAAUAUUUUUUGAGGGAGAAGAUUCAGCAUAGUUGCCUCCUCCAUAUUGUGCAUUAACAACAGCCAAAACCAUGGCCAAAAACAUAACUACAGUUGCAACUGAACCCUUAAAACCCAUGCUUAAGCUCUAUCCUUAAGUUGCAACCUUAAACUACUUACACAAAAGUUGAUGAUUAAUUUCCUUUUGAAACUUCUCUCACAUUCCAACCAAACUCCAUGCUUAUAUAUAGGAAUAAUGUAGAGAAAUGGCCCAUUGAUUUUUCCCUAGUAGGUG